CGUUGAUAGGUCGGGUGUGUAAGCGUAGCGAUACGUUGAGCUAACCGAUACUAAUGAACCGUGAGGCUUAACCUUACAACGCCGAAG
This 87-nucleotide ribosomal RNA is filed under the name Citrobacter freundii. RNAcentral describes it as "partial 23S ribosomal RNA". The stretch from base 1 to 75 matches the Rfam family "Bacterial large subunit ribosomal RNA", at positions 2851 to 2925 of the family's 2925-position model. The record is from RNAcentral. Lineage: Bacteria; Pseudomonadati; Pseudomonadota; Gammaproteobacteria; Enterobacterales; Enterobacteriaceae.